Molecule: ribosomal RNA, 253 nt
Filed under: uncultured bacterium
Lineage: Bacteria
Description: partial 16S ribosomal RNA
Rfam family: Bacterial small subunit ribosomal RNA
Source: RNAcentral
UACGAAGGGGGCUAGCGUUGUUCGGAUUUACUGGGCGUAAAGCGCGUGUAGGCGGGUCGUUAAGUUGGGGGUGAAAUCCCGAGGCUCAACCUCGGAACUGCCUUCAAAACUGGCGACCUGGAGCAAAGAAGAGGCGAGUGGAAUUGCGAGUGUAGAGGUGAAAUUCGUAGAUAUCAGGAGGAACACCGAUGGCGAAGGCAGCUCGCUGGGACGGUACUGACGCUGAGGUGCGAAAGCGUGGGGAGCAAACAGG